AACAACUGAUUGACUGAAAGUAGGAAUGAAAGCCGUCAGGUUGAGCUGAAACUACUUAUCUGAUACUCCUACAUGCAAGGCGUGAUAGUAGUCACAAAUUGUAUGGAGCUAGGUGAAGUCGGCUGAACAAAACCUAAGUGAGAAAAGAAAUCAUAUGGUAAUGGAUAGGUCGGGAUGCUACAAA
Bacillus thuringiensis IBL 200 is the source of this 184-nucleotide non-coding RNA. Lineage: Bacteria; Bacillati; Bacillota; Bacilli; Caryophanales; Bacillaceae. The record is from Rfam.